UGGCUGGCUGGCUGGCUGGCUGGCUGGCUGGCUGGCUGAGAGGGCAGAGUGGGGUGGUUACCCAGGGCAGUGGGGACGCUGGGGAGGCGGUCGGGCUGUCCAGCUGUAGACAGCUAGGCCUGUACAUCUCAUUGCUUCACAAUCUAAUUGUGAAACAUCAGCAUUGUGGCACACACCUGGGCCGCUCCCGAGGACUGUGAGCUCUCGUUCUCCGUGGCCAAUGUGAGUAAGACAUUUAAGCGUGUUAACCCUCUCAAGGCUGCCGGUCCAGACGGCAUCCCAACCCGCAUCCUCAGAGCAUGCUCAGACCAGCUAGCUGGCGUUUUUAUGGACAUAUUCAAUCUCUACAGUCUGUCCCCACUUUCUUCAAGAUGUCCACCAUUGUUCCUGUCCCCAAGAAGGCGUUGGUAACUGAACGAAAUUACUAUCGCCCCGUAGCACUCACUUCUGUCAUCAUGAAGUGCUUUGAGAGGCUAGUUAAGGAUCAUAUCACCUCCACCUUACCCGACACCCUAGACGCACUGCCACAGUGGAGAAGGAGAAAAGCUUCAAGUUCUUCAGAGUACAUACCACUGACAAUCUGAAGUGUUCCAUCUACACACAGUGUGGUGAAGAAGGUGGAACAGCUCCUCUUCAACCACAGGAGGCUGAAGAAAUUUGGCUUGGCCCCUAAGACCCUCACAAACUUUUACAGAUGCACAAUUGAGAGCAUCCUGUCAAGGCUGUAUCACCGCCUAGUACGGCAACUGCACCGUCCGCAACAGCAGAGCUCUCCAGAGCGUGGUGCGGUCUGCCCAACGCAUCACCGGGGACCCACUGCCAGCCCUCCAGGACAUCUACAGCACUCGGUGUCACAAAAAGUCCAAGAAAAUCAUCAAGGAUGACAGCCACCCGAGCCACGGCCUAUUCAGCCAAGACAACACAGGAGUGUCUUCGGGUCAAGUCUCUGAAUGUCC
Molecule: long non-coding RNA, 956 nt
Organism: Salvelinus namaycush (lake trout)
Lineage: Eukaryota; Metazoa; Chordata; Actinopteri; Salmoniformes; Salmonidae
Exons: 3
Source: RefSeq, a predicted model, not a curated record